This 52-nucleotide microRNA precursor is filed under the name Otolemur garnettii (small-eared galago). Its description in RNAcentral is "mir-1302 microRNA precursor family". It matches the Rfam family "mir-1302 microRNA precursor family". The record is from Rfam by way of RNAcentral. Lineage: Eukaryota; Metazoa; Chordata; Mammalia; Primates; Galagidae.
UUUGUAGUGUAAGUAUGUCUCAUUCAAUAUUUGGGACAUACUUGUACUAAAA